This is a long non-coding RNA of Anguilla anguilla (European eel), 2515 nucleotides long. RefSeq lists it as uncharacterized. The transcript is spliced from 3 exons. Lineage: Eukaryota; Metazoa; Chordata; Actinopteri; Anguilliformes; Anguillidae. The record is from RefSeq and is a predicted model, not a curated record.
GCUGUUCAUUGAUUACAUGAUUACAUUGACUUAAGAUUUUGAACAACACUUAUCUUUUACAGUGUUUGCACUUAAAAUGAGCUCCAAGUCAAAAGUAUAGCAUUACAUUACAUUACAGGCAUUUGGCAGACGCUCUUAUCCAGAGCGACGUACAACAAAGUGUAUAACCAUAACCAGGAACAAGUGUGUCGAAAACCCUAGAGAGAAGUACCGUUUCAAGCACAGGGAACUACCGCAUAGUUCAGCUAGUUAACCCUGUAGGUUAAACUGAUUAACACUAACGAGAACAGCAACAACGCAAAAAUACAAGCAGUAGUUAGUUCAUGCACUUGUCUUAAGUCACCUACGAAACAGCUACCUAGUUACAACCCUAUGCUUACAGUCAAUUUAGAGCUUACAGGGAGGUAGGGAGGGAUGGGAAGAGGUGCAGCCUGAAGAGGUGAGUCUUCAGGCUGUAGUAUAAAUAGCUACAGGGCUGAAUGGUUUAUUAGUUCAGUUAAGGCACCGCACCACGCUGUGGUGCAUGGACGGCCUCACUGCCUCGGACAGAAUCUGGACUGUGUUUCAUCGCUAUCAAGCUAACGCCGCUGGUCGAACAGGCAACUGUCAACUGCAUGGUAAGCAGCCUAGGAAAGGUCUUCCUCCGCCUAUCUGAGCUUAGCUGUAGUCUGCGGUGUGUAAGCAACUGGUGACACCAUCUGCAGUUAGAAAUAUUGGAUAUUCCCAAUUUGGUUGGGAAUUAAAUAGUACAGUCACACGCUGAGUGCCAAAUUUAGAUAUAAAAUGAAAAAAUAAAGCUAUAAAUAGUUUUAUUCAAAUAAAUUUUUACUUUAGGUCUUUCAGAAAUCGCAUGCUCUGUUUCUCUCUGCAGGAAACAUCUUCGAAUUUGCCAUAAACCUCAGUUAUGCUUUCUCCUCUUUGAUUUCCGAUCACCAUUCCCACCGAGCUUUCGUUUACCUUUCUGAGGAACUGGAAAAGUAUGUGUGUUUGGAGGGGUGAAAGAAAAAGAGAAUGUUUGUAUGUUUAUGAACCUGACUUCUAAACAUUAUAUAACAGACCCCUAACACAUAUAUUCACAUAAACUAGUGAUGGGCACUGCAAGCACUUGUAAGCAUUUGCCACACAGAAAUUAAUUUACAGUAUAUUAGCAGGCUCCAAAGAAUCCAGGACUCUAAGAAACACAGGUAACAGUUUUCCCAGUAUUCAUAGUGAAAACUGGAACAGGUUUUUGUUGUUUCAAUGUGGUUCCCACCCCCCACCCCAAACUUCCCUUAUUUACAGUGCUAAACAUGCUGAAGCCAUAAUCUUAAAUAUCAUUCACUGCAGCAUAUACUGGCUUUGCUGUGUGAUAGGUUUGUCUUUCACUGUUUCACUGUAGUUUAGCAGUUUUUAAACAGUCAAAACAUUUAUUUUUGUGACUGAAUUUGGUAGUCUAUUUCAAGGAGCACUCACAACAAGGAGGGUCUGGGUUCAAAUCCAGCUUGCACCCCUCUGUGUGGAACUUGCAUGUUCUCCCCAUGGGCAGCCAAUUGAGUGUGAGUGUGUGAGUGAAUGGUGUGUGUGCCCUGGGAUACAUUGGCAGCCGGGUGAUGCAUUCCUGCCCGUCACCCAAUGCGUGCUCCAGAACUCCCGAGACAAGUGGGUAUGGACUUCAAGGAAUAUGAGUUAUUUCAUGUGUUUUCAUGUUACAUAUUUAUUUCAGGCUUGAAUGCCCCCAAAAUCUUCACUCACACUCCAUGGAUUCUUCCCCUUGUCUAUCAGCUGGUCCCUCUGAUCUUGCCUCACCAUCAUCCAGUGGCUGCUCUCCUACUCGAAGAGAACAUUGAAAGCUUUAUUGCCUAGCUAGUUCACUCCGGUAAGUCCGGGAAGAGUGCUAUCAUCACUCUUCCCCCAUUUUUACUUUUUUUAAAUCGAGCACUAAUGCCAAAUAUACAAGUCAUAACAACCGUAGCCAAAUUAUCACAAAGAAUACAGGGAUUGAAGGGGACUGUAUCUUAUACUGACCGUGAUAAAAAAAAUGGCUGUUAACAGUGAAUGGGAAUUCAAGUAAGAUGAGAGUCGUGUUCUUUCUUUAUCUUUACCAGUACCCCUCAGCCCUCUUCAUCAGUUCAUGAUUUUAGAGUUUCUGAAAAAUUGGCUUUGUUCCUACCCAAAUUAAUUAUUAAUGAUCAACUUCAAAAUAAUUCUGACACUGCAAUGAUCGUUUAACAAAACAUAUUUGUGAAUGCACUCCGCUUUUUUAGAGUAUACCACUACUUAUAAAUAAUAAACAAUAAAUUCUUAUUGGAAAAAUGUGAUCCUUAGUGGCUAACACUGUCAUGAUGGUAUUUGUAGUCCAUGUUUAUAUAUGACUACUAACUUUUGGUUGUAUUUAUCUUCAAAAUAUUUUUGUAAGGUAUCAUUUUUUGUAAACCCUGAAAUUUGUCUCUACAUGCAAUUUUCUGAACAACUAAAUCACUUUAGCACUCCACUUAAUCAUAUGUAUCCUUUAUAUUCUACAAACAUAGCGAAACAC